RNAcentral lists this unclassified non-coding RNA (324 nucleotides) under uncultured Geminibasidiales. RNAcentral describes it as "sequence contains 5.8S rRNA gene". Lineage: Eukaryota; Fungi; Basidiomycota; Geminibasidiomycetes. The record is from RNAcentral.
GAACGCACCUUGCGCCCCUUGGUCAUUCCGAAGGGCAUGCCUGUUUGAGUAUCAUGAACACCUCAACUCUUGUGGUUUCCCACAACGAGCUUGGACUGUGGAGGUUUUGUUGGCCCUGUGGUCGGCUCGCUUUAAAAUAAUUAGCUGGAUCCAUUCUGACCUGGUUCUACUCGGCGUAAUAAGUUAUUAUCGUCGAGGACGCCUAGCCUUCUAGGCAGGCGGCCACAGUAAGGGUGUUUGAACCGCUUCCAACACGUCUUGCUCUUGUAGCAAACACUUGAACCUCUGACCUCAAAUCAGGCAGGACUACCCGCUGAACUUCAG